AGCAGCCGCGGUAAUUCCAGCUCCAAUAGCGUAUAUUAAAGUUGUUGCAGUUAAAAAGCUCGUAGUUGAAUUUCGGGGUCAGCAGGUCGGUCGUGCCAAUGGUAUGCACUGGCCUUGCUGAUUCCUCCCUCUUGAUGAGCUGUAAUGCCAUUAAUUUGGUGUUGCGGGGAAUCAGGACUGUUACUUUGAAAAAAUUAGAGUGUUUAAAGCAGGCAAGCGCUUGAAUACAUUAGCAUGGAAUAAUGAAAUAGGACGUUUGAUCCUAUUUUGUUGGUUUCUAGGAUUGACGUAAUGAUUAAUAGGGAUAGUUGGGGGCAUUAGUAUUCAAUUGUCAGAGGUGAAAUUCUUGGAUUUAUUGAAGACUAACUACUGCGAAAGCAUUUGCCAAGGAUGUUUUCAUUAAUCAAGAACGAAAGUUAGGGGAUCGAAGACGAUCAGAUACCGUCGUAGUCUUAACCAUAAACUAUGCCGACUAGGGAUCGGAUGAUGUUAAUUUUUUAAUGUACU
This 507-nucleotide ribosomal RNA is filed under the name uncultured Glomus. RNAcentral's name for it is "SSU rRNA". It matches the Rfam family "Eukaryotic small subunit ribosomal RNA", at positions 569 to 1080 of the family's 1831-position model. Lineage: Eukaryota; Fungi; Glomeromycota; Glomeromycetes; Glomerales; Glomeraceae. The record is from RNAcentral.